AUUGAACGCUGGCGGCAUGCCUUACACAUGCAAGUCGAACGGUAACGCGGGGGCAACCCUGGCGACGAGUGGCGAACGGGUGAGUAAUACAUCGGAACGUACCUGGUAGUGGGGGAUAGCCCGGCGAACGCCGGAUUAAUACCGCAUACGCACCACGGUGGAAAGCGGGGGACCGCAAGGCCUCGCGCUAUCAGAGCGGCCGAUGGCAGAUUAGCUAGUUGGUAGGGUAAAAGCCUACCAAGGCGACGAUCUGUAGCUGGUCUGAGAGGACGGCCGGCCACACUGGGACUGAGACCCGGCCCAGACUCCUACGGGAGGCAGCAGUGGGGAAUUUUGGACAAUGGGGGAAACCCUGAUCCAGCGAGGCCGCGUGUGUGAAGAAGGCCUUCGGGUUGUAAAGCACUUUUGUUCGGGAAGAAAUCUGUCGGGCUAAUACCCUGGCGGGAUGACGGUACCGGAAGAAUAAGCACCGGCUAACUACGUGCCAGCCGCCGCCGUAA
RNAcentral lists this ribosomal RNA (500 nucleotides) under uncultured bacterium. RNAcentral's name for it is "partial 16S ribosomal RNA". It matches the Rfam family "Bacterial small subunit ribosomal RNA", at positions 29 to 523 of the family's 1533-position model. The record is from RNAcentral.